This 68-nucleotide transfer RNA is filed under the name Triatoma picturata. Its description in RNAcentral is "tRNA-Leu". The record is from RNAcentral. RNAcentral also lists the same sequence under 1 other name. Lineage: Eukaryota; Metazoa; Arthropoda; Insecta; Hemiptera; Reduviidae.
CUUAAUGUGGCAGAAAUUACAUGCAAUGAAUUUAAGCUUCAUUUAUAAAGACCCUUCUUUCAUUAAGA